RNAcentral lists this unclassified non-coding RNA (574 nucleotides) under Hevea brasiliensis (rubber tree). Lineage: Eukaryota; Viridiplantae; Streptophyta; Magnoliopsida; Malpighiales; Euphorbiaceae. The record is from RNAcentral.
AAUUCCUACUUGCCUGUUACAGGUCCAAGGAUGCAUGUCACCUUAUAUGUCUACAAAUGUUUUGCCCACAAGCUAAGAUGAUACAACAUAUUUGACACUCUAGAGUUUCUUCACACAUACCCUCCACAGAUGUUAGGAAUUACACAAUGACUCAAAAGUGAAAUUUUAUUGUCUUUCUUAUUCGAGUUUCUCAAACUGUUUUGUAUCAAACAUAUCUUUGUUGACAAUGCAACUUUGUCCAACAUUCAGGAAUGUUAACCACCGGGGAACUAAUUGUAUUUAUUGCUUCCAUGUUCUGAAAAUGGUACCUACCAGAAAACUAUUUGUCUUCUCAGUUGAUCAAAGGCAGUUGGUGAACUUUUUUUGAAAAUCUGUUAAAUGGAAUACGAGUGGAAUUCUGCAUCAAGUGCAGUUGGUGUGAUCAAUGAAAUCUGGGUUUCAUUUCUCCUGCUUUCGAAUUAAAAUGUUGUUAACCGUGCACUUCUAUUUAAAGUUUGGUAUUUGCAUAAAAUUAUUGUGCCUUGUCUUGACUCUUGCGCUUGGAUUUGGACUGUUUUAUCAAUUGAGGGGCAAA